AAUCGUGACUCAAGUAGUUCAGGGCCUUUUUCAAGACCCGAAGGACAAUUUUUGGAGGCUCACCGGGGAUGGUGAGCCA
Ascaris suum (pig roundworm) is the source of this 79-nucleotide non-coding RNA. NCBI's taxonomy places the organism in Eukaryota, Metazoa, Nematoda, Chromadorea, Rhabditida, Ascarididae. The record is from Rfam.